Molecule: ribosomal RNA, 205 nt
Filed under: uncultured bacterium
Lineage: Bacteria
Description: partial 16S ribosomal RNA
Rfam family: Bacterial small subunit ribosomal RNA
Source: RNAcentral
GAUUGCAGGCUGCAACCCGCCCUGCAUGAAGUCGGAAUUGCUAGUAAUCGCGGAUCAGCAUGCCGCGGUGAAUACGUUCCCGGGCCUUGUACACACCGCCCGUCACACCAUGGGAGCCGGUAAUACCCGAAGUCAGUAGUCCAACCUCGUGAGGACGCUGCCGAAGGUAGGAUUGGCGACUGGGGUGAAGUCGUAACAAGGUACC